GGUCGAGUGCAGGUUAACAUUUCACCGUCCUUGCUACACUAUGCCCAAAGGAGAAAAUUCCAAGUCACCGCAAAGCUAUGCAGAUUUAGGCGGAAUAUGAUGGAAACUACCACAAAGAAAAGGAAGAGCAGCUACAAUUACGACUGUGAAACUACUUAUUUAUAAGUAUUUAUAAGCCGGAGGAAGACGAUUCUCAGUUAUUUGUGAAAUUUUGCCAGUUAUUUUUCAAAUUCACACAGGGGGAAUACGACACGAAGCGACAUAGUUCAUAGGUCCAGUGUUGAGAGUGUUACCAUGACGCCGCGGAGAGACGCCGUGUGACGAAUACAGGCGGCUCGAUUACCGUGCUGCGUUAACGGACUUGUGGCAAGGCUGGUAAAGAUGACACCCUAGAUUUGUCGAACACAUCAUCAGAGCUAGAGCUAUGCACACGUUGGCCACUAGUCGUCGCUAAAAUCGAGACUGCAAACUAGGAUGAAGCGGUGGAAACAAAGAUCCCAUUAAUGGCUGUUCUGGAGCUGUCAGUCAUAUCACAUGAUCUUCAUCGGCAGAUGAAGUUAACCUGGUUAUAAUGGCAUUGCAGGUGUUCAAAUUUCCAUGUUUUAUGAACACCUCAAGGACUUCUUGUUCCUGUUGGCUGAAUGGAUGGAUAAAGAAUGUUUUUCUGUUUUUCAGGCUUUAUCACCAUACAAAUACAAUAAAGUGAAACAAAAUAAUAUAUAAUAUUAUCCUUCAUUAUAUGGAAGUAUCUGUUAUGAUUUGAAGAGCCUUAGAUGGAGGCUGCGUCACCACACCAACACACACCAGAGACAAUUUAAAUCACACUGGCAAAACCACUUUUAUUGAUUUGCAGUUUAACAUUGUCACAAAUCUCCAUUACUGUUGGAAAGUGUUUGCAUUAUUAUACACAUGCAAAAAAUCAGAUGUGAUUUUAUGUCAUCAAUACUUUACAGCAUUACAAAUUUCAAAGACAGCUGAGAAUGUGUUCACUCAACUAUGUGGAUUUGCAUUUUGUCCCAAAAGACAGCUACAUUUUGUCACUGGUGAAUUCUUUCCAAAGAACUGUGUGUAGGCCAAUUAGCUGACACAAAGCUGGUUAUGUUCAUAUUUAUAUUUGAGAAGUACACAUUCACCAACAGCACCAAAACUCAUGCUGCAUUUAUUUUUUUUAAGAACUGAAAUAUAACUUAAAAACAUAACUUAAAAGAAAAUGAUUGCACGGUUUUCUUCACAGUUUCAAUUUACCUUAUUGGUCCCUUUGCUCAAACUGAAAUCUAUUUUGUCCUUUAAUUCACUGUCUGCAUUGCCAGUUGUAGUGCUACUAGACGACUAAUUGCAUAUGAUUUGCAUACAUAUUAAAGUGCACUCUGCAACG
Molecule: long non-coding RNA, 1375 nt
Organism: Sebastes umbrosus (honeycomb rockfish)
Lineage: Eukaryota; Metazoa; Chordata; Actinopteri; Perciformes; Sebastidae
Exons: 3
Source: RefSeq, a predicted model, not a curated record